AGUGGCAGACGGGUGCGUAACGCGUGGGAACAUACCUUUUGGUUCGGAAUAACUCAGGGAAACUUGAGCUAAUACCGGAUACGCCCGUGAGGGGAAAGAUUUAUCGCCGAAAGAUUGGCCCGCGUCUGAUUAGCUAGUUGGUGUGGUAACGGCGCACCAAGGCGACGAUCAGUAGCUGGUCUGAGAGGAUGAUCAGCCACACUGGGACUGAGACACGGCCCAG
This 223-nucleotide ribosomal RNA is filed under the name uncultured bacterium. Its description in RNAcentral is "partial 16S ribosomal RNA". It matches the Rfam family "Bacterial small subunit ribosomal RNA", at positions 94 to 334 of the family's 1533-position model. The record is from RNAcentral.